GCCGUCGUAGCACAAUGGUAGUGCGUUGCUUUCCUAUCAGCGUGUGAUGCGAAAAUAUUGUAGAGGCAGAGGUUGAGGGUUCGAUCCCCUUCGUCGGUU
Non-coding RNA from Coprinopsis sp. MPI-PUGE-AT-0042, 99 nucleotides. The record is from the annotation of a GenBank genome assembly. NCBI's taxonomy places the organism in Eukaryota, Fungi, Basidiomycota, Agaricomycetes, Agaricales, Psathyrellaceae.